CGCGUAGGCGGUCCUGUAAGUCAGAUGUGAAAGCCCGGGGCUUAACCCCGGAAGUGCAUUUGAAACUAUGGGACUUGAGUAUGGGAGAGGGAAGUGGAAUUCCUGGUGUAGAGGUGAAAUUCGUAGAUAUCAGGAGGAACACCGGUGGCGAAGGCGACUUCCUGGACCAAUACUGACGCUGAGGCGCGAAGGCGUGGGGAGCAAACAGGAUUAGAUACCCGAGUAGUCC
This 229-nucleotide ribosomal RNA is filed under the name uncultured bacterium. RNAcentral's name for it is "partial 16S ribosomal RNA". It matches the Rfam family "Bacterial small subunit ribosomal RNA", at positions 568 to 796 of the family's 1533-position model. The record is from RNAcentral.